Vidua chalybeata is the source of this 2826-nucleotide long non-coding RNA. RefSeq lists it as uncharacterized. The transcript has 7 exons. NCBI's taxonomy places the organism in Eukaryota, Metazoa, Chordata, Aves, Passeriformes, Viduidae. The record is from RefSeq and is a predicted model, not a curated record.
AAGAAGAAAAAUGUGUCAUUCAUUUUCUGUCAAGGGGAGAAAAAGCCAUUUUCCAACAAAUUCCAAACAAUUCUAGAUCUGAGAAAAAAGAAGAUACCUUUUGAUCCUUGGAAUCAAACAGAGACAUCUCAGCAAAACAGCAGGAAUAGAGGAAGUCUGGACAUAGAUCUGAAUCCUGGCUUAUGAACUGUUUCCAUCUAGAUCUCAAGACCAUCCUCCAUGGGGAUGUUUUCCAAACUGCUGCUGGUCUGAGAUGACUGAAAUGAUGGCUUUUAGAACUUCUCUGUGGUUUCCUGUUAACGUACAUAUAUUGCUUCAGAAUCAUACCUGGAAGGCUCGAGCCCUGCCUGGUGAUAAAUGUUAGUCCUCAGGAAAAAUAUUCCAAAGCUGGUGUAGCCCUUGAACUAGAGGAUGAAUAAGGCUGCCUGAAAAUUGGAGCCUUACCCUUCUUGUGCCUCAGCUGCAGUCCAUGCACUACAGAAAGAUAGAUGGAAUCACUGGGAUCUGCCUUUUGAACCGGGCUCUGCAGAAAGAAAGCUGCAGAUAUUGAACUUCAAAGCAAGAGAUAACUGAGAGAAAAAAAUGUUCCAAAUGGUGGAGUGUCUUCUGACAUUUGGCAGAAAUCACCAGGGGAUGUGGAGGUGUUACAUCUGUUCAUGGCUAAGGAUGGCCUUCAAAAGAACAUUUUUACUUGCCUUCUCAAAAUCAUUUGGAGUUACAUCUGCUUCUUUGCAAGGUAUCAAGUUCCUUACCAGGAACUGCUUCAUGGUUUUUAAUGUUGUUAAGUUUUCACUUUGAAUUUCACUAUAGGUUUAGAAAAUUACAUCCUAUUCUUCGUGUGCUCUGUAAAGGAGCCAGUUCAGUGUCUGAACACAGAAAACUUGCUGAAUUUCCCCAGGGCUGGUGAUCUUAUUACUUUCUAUUAGUUGAAUUAAUCCUCCUGAGAACCAUUCAAUUUUUUUACUCCUUAAAACUUUCAGAGCUCCAUAUUAUUAUGAAAGGUUUUACUGAGCUAAAGUUGUUAGGACAGGGUUUAAUUUUGCAGCCCACACAGUUACAGCCUUAUGAGACUGCCUGGUUUGCCUUCCAGUGCGUAAAAUAUGAGACUUUGAAUCAUUCACCUCCAGGAAGCACUUUUCAAAACUGGGGAGAAAAUUACAUAGCAGCAGAAUAUGAAUUGAUAUGUCAGUGAACACCUGUCCUUCCUUAUCUGUUGCGUUAUCUUUUCCCAGCCUCCUUUUGAAUGAUCCCAAGACCUGCUGCUCCAACUGUAACCCUCAGCAAUUGUUGAAUUCCACUUUUCAGCAGUAAUUGACUCACUCUUUUUCCUGCAGCUCGAGCAGGAUCAUUUUCAGCUUGCAGAUGAGUUUCUGGCUAGGAGGAAAUUGUUUUCCCACUGCCAUGCAGGGUCUCUCAUCCACAGUUUGCAGCAUUUUUGAUUCAUAAAUAUUUUCUGUGAUGGAGUAAUUUGGUUUAAUCCUCCUUGCCCCUCUACCAAUGCCAGGGAUGUGCUUGUGUGCUAACACAGGAUCUACAGCACAAAUUCCUUCAUCAGUGGUUUCGGUGGCUCCAGACAGAUCUUUCACAAAGCUGUCUUUAAUUGGUGGGUUCUGUGUGCAGUAGUUUCAUGUCAACAUGUAAAUCAGAUUGAGACAAUCGACUGCAGUGGGAGAUUUGAUGGGAUGAGCAAUGAAAGCCCCUGCUCUGAGAGGAAUAGUGGUGUUUGUUUGUUUGUGUGUUCAGGACUCUACCUCAAAAUGUACCUAUUCCAACACUGAAUUUCAGUGUAGAAUGUGUCUCUGACAUAGCAGGAGUAUAUUUCUAAAAUUGAUUUGGAAUGCAGAUUAAUAAUAUACUCAGUACAGAUUUCUCUGUACAUUUCUUAUGCAUCUCUUAAUUUUCUACAGGAGCAGAAAUCUCUGCUGUAAUUCCAGCUCUAGGAAGCUGACAGGGCUCAGAAAAGAUAAUCUGACUGCUGCAUUUGCAAAACAUCCCUCCCUUCCAGGACCAAAGUCAAGGACAACAAAAAAUGCCAAAGGAAUUAGUAUAAAUUACAUCCUUCAUACUCUACACAUCCAGGGGUAGUGUUUGUCAUCAGUUGUGAUCUCUGAUCACUCAGUGAAUGUGCUGGUCCUGCAAAUGCUUUAAUCCAGGCAGGACUCUUAAGAAAUAUUCCCAGUAAAUACCACAAUGGAUCACAUCAGUUACCAGAUUGAAACCACUCUUGAUUUCCAAAUUUUUGACAGGCUGACAACAUUGGGCUGUUCAGCCUGGGGGAAAAAAGGGUUAGGUGGAGACCUGAUGACAGCUUUCCAGUAUGAGAAGGGGCUACAGGGAAGAUGGAGAGGGACAAUUCUUCAGGAAUUGGAGUGACAGGACAGAAUGGCAGAAUGGGUUCAAACUGCCAGAGGGGAAGUUUAGAUGGGAUAUUGGGAAGGAAUUGUUCCCUGGGAGGGUAGGGAGGCCCUGGCACAGAGUGUCCAGAGAAGCUGUGGCUGUUCCUGGAUCCCUUGCCAAGGCCCUGGAUCCCUGAAUCCAAGGCCAGCUUGGACCCUGGGGCUUGGAACAGCCUGGGACAGUGAAAGGUGUCCCUGGCCAUGGCAGGAGAUGGAACCAAAUUAUCUUCAAUAUCUUUUCUAACCCAAACCAUUCUAUGAUUCUAAAUGAACCUCAGACAAUUUGAAUGGUCCUGCUUUUUUUCAAUUGUAGUUUUAACUCAAAUAUUCAUGGUUUUAAAAAUGUGUGCUUGAUGUAUCCAGAUAAUAAAAUGGGCAAUGAUUGUACUUUCCCCAUCAUCCUGAGAAUAUAAAUUCCUGCUCCAUUAAA